Molecule: transfer RNA, 70 nt
Filed under: Lampadena atlantica
Lineage: Eukaryota; Metazoa; Chordata; Actinopteri; Myctophiformes; Myctophidae
Description: tRNA-His
Rfam family: tRNA
About the family: Transfer RNA (tRNA) molecules are approximately 80 nucleotides in length. Their secondary structure includes four short double-helical elements and three loops (D, anti-codon, and T loops).
Source: RNAcentral
GUAGGCAUAGUUUUAACCAAAACGUUAGAUUGUGAUUCUAAAAAUAGAAGUUAGACCCUUCUUGCCCACC